ACGCUCGACACCUACCGGAGGCAGCAGUGGGGAAUAUUGCACAAUGGGGGAAACCCUGAUGCAGCGACGCCGCGUGGAGGAAGAAGGUCUUCGGAUUGUAAACUCCUGUUGUUGGGGAAAAAGAGGAUGGUACCCAACAAGGAAGUGACGGCUAACUACGUACCAGCAGCCGCGGUAAUCUGAGCGGGCUGGCAAGGC
This 198-nucleotide ribosomal RNA is filed under the name uncultured bacterium. Its description in RNAcentral is "partial 16S ribosomal RNA". It matches the Rfam family "Bacterial small subunit ribosomal RNA", at positions 328 to 539 of the family's 1533-position model. The record is from RNAcentral.